AAUUCUCAAAACCCUUUUCUUUGGAAAGGAUUUUGGACUUGGAGGCCUUUUGCUGGUUUCGCCUCGAAGCGAGCUCCUCCUAAAUGAAUCAGUGGGGUUUGCUUUGCGGAUCCUUGACGUGAUAAGUCGUUUCUACGUCUUGGAUUUUUUGCACUGUACACCUGCUUCUAACCGUCUCAUUGACAAUGAUGGUGCUCCGGUCACCGCCGAUUCGUCGGUCGGGAGGCUGGACCCACAAAACGAA
Molecule: unclassified non-coding RNA, 244 nt
Filed under: uncultured Russula
Lineage: Eukaryota; Fungi; Basidiomycota; Agaricomycetes; Russulales; Russulaceae
Description: sequence contains ITS2
Source: RNAcentral